GGGUCCAUAGCUCAGUGGUAGAGCAAUUGACUGCAGAUCAAUAGGUCCCCGGUUGGGCCCU
Transfer RNA from Oryza sativa (Asian cultivated rice), 61 nucleotides. It matches the Rfam family "tRNA". Rfam says of the family: Transfer RNA (tRNA) molecules are approximately 80 nucleotides in length. Their secondary structure includes four short double-helical elements and three loops (D, anti-codon, and T loops). Further hydrogen bonds mediate the characteristic L-shaped molecular structure. tRNAs have two regions of fundamental functional importance: the anti-codon, which is responsible for specific mRNA codon recognition, and the 3' end, to which the tRNAs corresponding amino acid is attached (by aminoacyl-tRNA synthetases). tRNAs cope with the degeneracy of the genetic code in two manners: having more than one tRNA (with a specific anti-codon) for a particular amino acid; and 'wobble' base-pairing, i.e. permitting non-standard base-pairing at the 3rd anti-codon position. NCBI's taxonomy places the organism in Eukaryota, Viridiplantae, Streptophyta, Magnoliopsida, Poales, Poaceae. The record is from Rfam.